CCGCGUCUCGGACGUUCCCGCAGCCAACGUUUAGGGCACCAGGCGCUGUGCUAGGCGCCGCGGUUAUAAAGAUAAUCGGUUUUGUUGAGCCCAGGAAUGUUCGGGUUAAUCUGUUUUCUCUAAUCAAACACUUAAUCAUCCAGUCUCCUCUCUGCGUUAUGGAUUCAUGAAUGUGAAGUGAGGAGAGUUGCUCAGUCAAGGUUUUUCACGUACUGCACAUCCAAGCUAGGUAAUGUCUCUGCAACUGCUGCUUCCUGAUGAUUAUAUUCAUCUGAAAUGACUAAGCUUGGUAAAUUAGGCUAAGUCAAGUCUGUGGAGCAGUCAAGGGACGAAUGAAGAAAAGAAUAAUGUAAUGGAGGCUACACCAGAGACAUGGGAAUCUAUCAGCAUGUGGCAAGGAAGGAAGAACAUAGCUAUGUCUUCUAUAUAAAGAGUUGCCUGCAUUCUUCUCAGAAAAAAAAAGACAAUGGAAAGGCAAUGAGUCAUGAGUCUUGGGUUCUAAGCCUGGUUCUACCAUUUGCUAGCUGUAUGAUAAGAAGCAUGUUUGUUAAACCUCUGAGCCUCAGCUUAUAUAUAUACGAAACAGGAAAAAUAGUAACAUAGCCUGCCAUCUUCACAGAUUUGUGAAAAGGUCUUUUAAAUAUCCAAAAAGCUUAGUAUGUAUAAGAAAGAUUAAAUUGGCUGGGCGCGGUGGCUCACGCCUGUAAUCCCAGCACUUUGGGAGGCCGAGGCGGGCGGAUCACAAG
This 746-nucleotide long non-coding RNA is filed under the name Homo sapiens (human). Its description in RNAcentral is "HSALNT0317131". The record is from RNAcentral. Lineage: Eukaryota; Metazoa; Chordata; Mammalia; Primates; Hominidae.